This 429-nucleotide ribosomal RNA is filed under the name Bacteroidota bacterium. RNAcentral's name for it is "Bacteroidetes bacterium partial 16S ribosomal RNA". It matches the Rfam family "Bacterial small subunit ribosomal RNA", at positions 355 to 776 of the family's 1533-position model. Lineage: Bacteria; Pseudomonadati; Bacteroidota. The record is from RNAcentral.
UAGGGAAUCUUCCGCAAUGGACGCAAGUCUGACGGAGCAACGCCGCGUGAGUGAAGAAGGAUUUCGGUUCGUAAAACUCUGUUGUUAGAGAAGAACAGCGCAUAGAGUAACUGUUAUGCGUGUGACGGUAUCUAACCAGAAAGCCACGGCUAACUACGUGCCAGCAGCCGCGGUAAUACGUAGGUGGCAAGCGUUGUCCGGAUUUAUUGGGCGUAAAGCGAGCGCAGGCGGUCAAUUAAGUCUGAUGUGAAAGCCCCCGGCUCAACCGGGGAGGGUCAUUGGAAACUGGUUGACUUGAGUGCAGAAGAGGAGAGUGGAAUUCCAUGUGGAGCGGUGAAAUGCGUAGAUAUAUGGGGGAACACCAGUGGAGAAGGCGACUCUCUGGUCUGUAACUGACGCUGAGGUUCGAAAGCGUGGGUAGCAAACAGG